UAGGCAUACUCCAAGGGCCAUUAUUGCAUUGAUUAAGAUAUUGCAAUGAAUGGUACAGAAAGAAGUUCAGUUUGCAUCACACUAACUUAGUACCUCUUCGAUCCAAUUUGAGACACAAUCCAAACCUUAAAUCAGGAAGCAGAUGUGACCAGAAGUGGGGAAAUUAUCAUUGCUCCCUUGCAGUUUACAUGAAAAUUUUAGACUGCUGUUCCUUUAAUAAAAAAGGAAGGCCCAUACUGGGUCUUACAACAUUCACAGCCAAGGCUGCACAAAGACACUGAUAUGAAUGACAAUUGACCAAUUUGCCUAUGCCAUCAUGAGAAAUGAAUGAUGCUUGACCAAGUUUCCUACAGUGUUAUAUAGCUUCUUUCACCUCCCCCUUCCUGCAUUUUACAGGAAUAAAAUGAUGGAGAGAUUGCCAGUGGAAGCAGAGGAAGCACCAACCAGCAAUAAGGAAAGACGUAACAUAAGCCAAAAUUCAUGGUGUAGCAGAAUACUUCACAACAAUACUUCAGGACUUUUGAAUCUGAGAACAUAC
This 538-nucleotide long non-coding RNA is filed under the name Anolis carolinensis (green anole). RNAcentral describes it as "lncRNA (ENSACAG00000045501.1)". The record is from RNAcentral. Lineage: Eukaryota; Metazoa; Chordata; Lepidosauria; Squamata; Anolidae.